This is a long non-coding RNA of Sinocyclocheilus anshuiensis, 90 nucleotides long. RefSeq lists it as uncharacterized. The transcript has 3 exons. The record is from RefSeq and is a predicted model, not a curated record. NCBI's taxonomy places the organism in Eukaryota, Metazoa, Chordata, Actinopteri, Cypriniformes, Cyprinidae.
UUAAUUUCUUUUUGUCACUUUAUCACUAAAAGAACCGCUGUGAACUUAUUGAGAAUCACAAGCUUGACAUUACAGGUUAGUUUUUCCAUU